Vicia faba (fava bean) is the source of this 267-nucleotide non-coding RNA. The record is from the annotation of a GenBank genome assembly. Lineage: Eukaryota; Viridiplantae; Streptophyta; Magnoliopsida; Fabales; Fabaceae.
AUGGCUGACAUGGCUGGAGCGGCCACUCUGACACGGCGUCGUUCUAAAUCCAAUCCCAUUAUUGCAGUCGUUUCAGCCGAGCCACCCAUAUGUGACGGGACGGCACGGCCUGACGUGGUUUUAUUGAUUCUGCUGUUCCGUGCCGAGAUAACAGCCGGAAUGGCCGAGUUCAAUAACAUAGACGACGCUGAUGUGUUACGGUUUCAAGGAAAUUAUACUUGCAUGUUUCAUGGAAAUAAUAGACAUAGUGGGGAAGUCAAAGUUUGA